This 400-nucleotide ribosomal RNA is filed under the name uncultured bacterium. RNAcentral describes it as "bacterial SSU rRNA". It matches the Rfam family "Bacterial small subunit ribosomal RNA", at positions 43 to 441 of the family's 1533-position model. The record is from RNAcentral.
CAGGCCUAACACAUGCAAGUCGAACGGUAGCACAGAGAGCUUGCUCUCGGGUGACGAGUGGCGGACGGGUGAGUAAUGUCUGGGAAACUGCCCGAUGGAGGGGGAUAACUACUGGAAACGGUAGCUAAUACCGCAUAACGUCUUCGGACCAAAGUGGGGGACCUUCGGGCCUCACACCAUCGGAUGUGCCCAGAUGGGAUUAGCUAGUAGGUGGGGUAAUGGCUCACCUAGGCGACGAUCCCUAGCUGGUCUGAGAGGAUGACCAGCCACACUGGAACUGAGACACGGUCCAGACUCCUACGGGAGGCAGCAGUGGGGAAUAUUGCACAAUGGGCGCAAGCCUGAUGCAGCCAUGCCGCGUGUAUGAAGAAGGCCUUCGGGUUGUAAAGUACUUUCAGCG